Molecule: small RNA, 188 nt
Filed under: Salana multivorans
Lineage: Bacteria; Bacillati; Actinomycetota; Actinomycetes; Micrococcales; Beutenbergiaceae
Description: Actinobacteria sRNA Ms_IGR-5
Rfam family: Actinobacteria sRNA Ms_IGR-5
Source: Rfam by way of RNAcentral
ACACGUGAAGGGAGGUGGUCCACGACAUGAAGCUCGUUCGGACUCGUGAGGUGGUCGCCCGCUAGUCGGGAGCCACGGACGGCUCGCCGCCCGGCUCUCCAGGCGAGACCACGGCGAUCACCGGAACCCGCGGGAGCGGCGCACUCGUCCAGCGUCGCAGCCACUCGGCAGCCCGCGGGUUCUUCCAU